RNAcentral lists this ribosomal RNA (497 nucleotides) under uncultured bacterium. RNAcentral's name for it is "partial 16S ribosomal RNA". It matches the Rfam family "Bacterial small subunit ribosomal RNA", at positions 28 to 507 of the family's 1533-position model. The record is from RNAcentral.
GAUGAACGCUGGCGGCGUGCCUAAUACAUGCCAGUCGAGCGAACAGACGAGGAGCUUGCUCCUCUGACGUUAGCGGCGGACGGGUGAGUAACACGUGGAUAACCUACCUAUAAGACUGGGAUAACUUCGGGAAACCGGAGCUAAUACCGGAUAAUAUAUUGAACCGCAUGGUUCAAUAGUGAAAGACGGUUUUGCUGUCACUUAUAGAUGGAUCCGAGCCGCAUUAGCUAGUUGGUAAGGUAACGGCUUACCAAGGCGACGAUGCGUAGCCGACCUGAGAGGGUGAUCGGCCACACUGGAACUGAGACACGGUCCAGACUCCUACGGGAGGCAGCAGUAGGGAAUCUUCCGCAAUGGGCGAAAGCCUGACGGAGCAACGCCGCGUGAGUGAUGAAGGUCUUCGGAUCGUAAAACUCUGUUAUUAGGGAAGAACAAAUGUGUAAGUAACUAUGCACGUCUUGACGGUACCUAAUCAGAAAGCCACGGCUAACUACGUG